This 400-nucleotide ribosomal RNA is filed under the name phytoplankton environmental sample. Its description in RNAcentral is "partial small subunit ribosomal RNA". It matches the Rfam family "Eukaryotic small subunit ribosomal RNA", at positions 587 to 990 of the family's 1831-position model. The record is from RNAcentral.
AGCUCCAAUAGCGUAUAUUAAAGUUGUUGCGGUUAAAAAGCUCGUAGUUGGAUUUCUGCCGAGGACGACCUGUCCACCCACUGGGUGCGCACGAGGUUCGGCUUUGGCAUAAUCUUGGAGAACGCCGCUGCGAUUCAUUUUGUGGGGUGGUAUCCAAGACCUUUACUUUGAGGAAAUUAGAGUGUUUCAAGCAGGCAUACGCCUUGAAUACAUUAGCAUGGAAUAAUGAGAUAGGGCCACGGCGGUCUAUUUUGUUGGUUUGCACGUUGUGGUAAUGAUUAACAGGAACGGUUGGGGGUAUUCGUAUUCAAUUGUCAGAGGUGAAAUUCUUGGAUUUGUGGAAGACGAACUACUGCGAAAGCAUUUACCAAGGAUGUUUUCAUUAAUCAAGAACGAAAGU